This 1017-nucleotide ribosomal RNA is filed under the name Triticum aestivum (bread wheat). RNAcentral's name for it is "partial small subunit ribosomal RNA". Lineage: Eukaryota; Viridiplantae; Streptophyta; Magnoliopsida; Poales; Poaceae. The record is from RNAcentral.
AUGGCACACAACCAUGCAUUGUUAUGCAAGUUCACCGCUCGGGUUUUACAGAGCUCUGAUGUCCCCUGCUAUCAGUGGUUCGCCCAUCAAUAUUGUGCUGCUCGCAUUCCCCGCAGCUCAGCCAACAGAGACACCGUUAUUUGGAAGGGCUUCAAGGAACACAUUUCCAUGAUUACAUCCUUGACGUCUUACUACCUUGGUAAAGGCCAGCUGCUCUCGUUCUGGCAUGACAAGUGGCUGGGAGUCGGCCGUCUUCAUUUCGUCUUGUCAGUCCUAUACUCCUAUGCGAAGGACAAUAAUUGUAUAGUCGCCUCUCAGUUUGCCAAUGGUUGCUGGGAUGUUCAGUUGCAUCCUAAUCUCUCAAACACUGCGGUUCAGGAGCUGCAUCGUCUCCACUCUCUUCUGCUGGAGGUGAUGCCUGCUUCGGCACACCCGGACCUCCGGCGAACUGCCGUCUGCCACCGUGAGGUCACCACAUCAUAUAUAUAUGGGUUGCUGAAUUUCAGAGGUAUGUCGUGUACGUUCGCGCAGUGGAUCUGGGACCCGAUCAUCCCUCUCAAGGACCGGAUCUUUCUUUGGCUAGCUUUUUGGGGCCGACUCAAUACGCAGGAUAACAUGACAAAGAAGGGCUGGUUUUCUGUUGCCUCUCACCCGGAUUGCGAUAUCUGCCCGGCCACUGAAUCUAGCAGUCACUUUAUCCUACGAUGUGCUCCGGCUGUUGCUAUCUGGUGCAAGUUGAAGGUGGCCAGGCAUGCCUCCUGUUCCCCGGACUUGGUGGAGUUUGUGCAGAAACUACAACACUGCUGGCCUGCUGCCUGGAAAGUGCAUAUUCUUUUUGCUGCAUGUGCCGUCAUGCUGUGGCAUGCAAGAAACGAUCGGGUUUUUCAUCUUCACCGUUGGGCACCGUCUUACACCAGGCAAUAUGCUGUCCAGCUCUUGUCACUUUGGAGGAAUAGGGUUAUGCGUACAAGAGAUAAGGAGGCUAUAGAUUUCUGGGUGCAACAAUUUAGUUCUUAG